GUUUGACUGACUGUGCCAUCUGUCACCCCAUUGAUCACCAGGGUUGAUUUGGCUGAUCUGGCUGGCUAGGUGGGUGUCCCCUUUUUCCCCACUCCACGUGCGUCCCUCCAGGAGCUGCAUGAAGAGGACGACCUUCCCAGAAUAGAGAGCUUUGCUCAAGGGAGUAGCUGCAUUCCCCUGCUAGAACCUCCAAACGAGAUCAAAAGCUGAUGUACAAUUUAAUCUCUAGCUUUUUCUGUAUAUGUUCCAUAUAAUCUUCAAAACCACUUUAGGAAGAGGCAGGAAUU
This 287-nucleotide small RNA is filed under the name Meriones unguiculatus (Mongolian gerbil). RNAcentral's name for it is "7SK RNA (ENSMUGG00000021550.1)". It matches the Rfam family "7SK RNA", at positions 10 to 269 of the family's 331-position model. From Rfam's summary of the family: 7SK was discovered as an abundant small nuclear RNA in the mid-70s but a possible function has only recently been suggested. Two independent studies have found that 7SK RNA binds the CDK9/cyclin T complex (known as elongation factor P-TEFb). The record is from RNAcentral. Lineage: Eukaryota; Metazoa; Chordata; Mammalia; Rodentia; Muridae.